AAAAAAGAAAAAAAACACAAACCCUAUCCUAAUCGGCCCACUAGGGGCCCAACACCUAACCCUAGCGCGCGCCCUGGCUCCUCCCUGUGGCCGCCGCCUCCUACUUCCUCUCCCUCAGCCGCCACCCACUCUCUCCUCUUCCCUCUCUCUGCACCGACUUCUGCGGCAGCGGCGGCGACGCCAUGGGCCCGGUGGGCUUGGCCGCCGUCCUGUGCUACGGGGACACCGUGACGCAGCUCCACAUCGUGGGCGCCGCGGGCGCGGGCGCACCGCCUCUGCCCAGGAACUUCUCCAUCGGGGUCGUGGUCACAACGCUGUCCAGGCUCCCCGACCUCAAGGUGCUCACGCUGUCCGGGCUCGAGCUCUGGGCCCGCUGCCGGGCAAGCUCGGUCGCCUCGCGUCGCUGGAGAUCGUCAACAUGAGCGGCAACUAUCUCUUCGGCGAGGUCCUGCGGGGCGUGUCGCGCCUCGCCGGUCUCCAGACACUGGUCCUCGAUGACAACAUGCUGGGCGGUGAGGUGCCGACCUGGAUCGGCGCCCAGCCGUCGCUGGCCGUCCUGAGCCUGCGGAACAACACGUUCCAGGGCGUCGUGCCGGAGUCCCUGGGAAGCGCCCCCUCGCUGCGGUCGCUCGUUCUCGCGUCCAACAACCUGUCCGGGAACCUGCCGGACAUGAGCCAGCAGGCCAACCUCCAGGUGCUCGACGUCGGCGGCAACUCGCUCGAGCCGGCGUUCCCCAAGCUCGGGAGGAAGGUGGUCACCGUGGUCCUGGCUAGGAACCGGUUCGUCGCCUUCCUCCAGAACCCGCAGCUCGUGCAGGAGUUCAGGCCCGACAAACAGUACAACAUCCACAUGCUCCAGGAGCGAUAUCAGGUUUAUGUUCUUUCAACUCUAGCAAGGGACAAUUCACAGUGAGAGUUUUCUCUGCUGGAUCACUGUAGGGAAAGGACAAUGCAUAUUAAAUAGGAUCAAAAUUCAGAUGAAACAUUGAAGAUCGGUCCUGACCAGAUUGAAGCUCUGUAUCAGUGUGCCAAAUUUCAGUUUGAGUGUGGUAACUACUCAGGAGCAGCUAGAGUGAUGUAGUUGUGGGCUUUUGAACAAUAGCUGGAGUAAUAUGAAACAUUAGUGAUGUAGUUGUGGGCUUUUGAACUGCUUCAAGCUGGAGUGAUGUCGUUGUGGUGCUUUUGUGACUGAUCAUCUCUGGAGCUUUUGUGAAUGAUCUAGCUAGCUAUCUAUAAAUGAUCUAGUUGUGAAUGAUAUUAUAAUUGUGAUGCUUUUGUGAAUAUAUAAUUGUGGUGCUUUUGUGUUU
Molecule: RNA transcript, 1307 nt
Organism: Zea mays
Lineage: Eukaryota; Viridiplantae; Streptophyta; Magnoliopsida; Poales; Poaceae
Exons: 3
Source: RefSeq, marked validated